UACGUAGGGGGCAAGCGUUAUCCGGAUUUACUGGGUGUAAAGGGAGCGUAGACGGCAGCGCAAGUCUGGAGUGAAAUGCCGGGGCCCAACCCCGGAACUGCUCUGGAAACUGUGAAGCUGGAGUGCAGGAGAGGUAGGCGGAAUUCCCGGUGUAGCGGUGGAAUGCGCAGAUAUCGGGAAGAACACCGGUGGCGAAGGCGGCCUUCUGGGCCAUCACUGACGCUGAGGCGCGAAAGCUAGGGGAGCAAACAGG
This 253-nucleotide ribosomal RNA is filed under the name uncultured Eubacteriales bacterium. RNAcentral's name for it is "uncultured Clostridiales bacterium partial 16S ribosomal RNA". It matches the Rfam family "Bacterial small subunit ribosomal RNA", at positions 524 to 776 of the family's 1533-position model. The record is from RNAcentral. Lineage: Bacteria; Bacillati; Bacillota; Clostridia; Eubacteriales.